This 125-nucleotide small RNA is filed under the name Marmota monax (woodchuck). The record is from RNAcentral. Lineage: Eukaryota; Metazoa; Chordata; Mammalia; Rodentia; Sciuridae.
GCCGGGCAUGGAGGCGCAUACCUGUAAUCCCAGCGGUUUGGGAGGCUGAGACAGGAGAAUUGUGAGUUCAAAGCCAGCCUCAGCAACUGUGAUACAUUGAGCAACUCAGUGAGACACGGUCUCUA